GGCUAGAGUUUGAUCAUGGCUCAGGACGAACGCUGGCGGCGUGCUUAACACAUGCAAGUCGAACGGGGUGUUUAUUUCGGUAAACACCAAGUGGCGAACGGGUGAGUAACGCGUAAGCAAUCUACCUUCAAGAUGGGGACAACACUUCGAAAGGGGUGCUAAUACCGAAUGAAUGUAAGAGUAUCGCAUGAGACACUUACUAAAGGAGGCCUCUGACAUAAGCUUCCGCUUGAAGAUGAGCUUGCGUCUGAUUAGCUAGUUGGUGAGGGUAAAGGCCCACCAAGGCGACGAUCAGUAGCCGGUCUGAGAGGAUGAACGGCCACAUUGGGACUGAGACACGGCCCAGACUCCUACGGGAGGCAGCAGUGGGGAAUCUUCCGCAAUGGGCGAAAGCCUGACGGAGCAACGCCGCGUGAACGAUGAAGGUCUUAGGAUCGUAAAGUUCUGUUGUUAGGGACGAAGGGUAAGAAUCAUAAUAAGGUUUUUAUUUGACGGUACCUAACGAGGAAGCCACGGCUAACUACGUGCCAGCAGCCGCGGUAAUACGUANGCGGCAAGCGUUGUCCGGAAUUAUUGGGCGUAAAGGGAGCGCANGCGGGAAACUAAGCGGAUCUUAAAAGUGCGGGGCUCAACCCCGUGAGGGGGUCCGAACUGGUUUUCUUGAGUGCAGAGAGGAAAGCG
RNAcentral lists this ribosomal RNA (681 nucleotides) under uncultured bacterium. RNAcentral describes it as "bacterial SSU rRNA". It matches the Rfam family "Bacterial small subunit ribosomal RNA", at positions 1 to 663 of the family's 1533-position model. The record is from RNAcentral.